GAUGAACGCUAGCGGCAGGCUUAAUACAUGCAAGUCGUGGGGCAGCAGGACUGUAGCAAUACAGUUGCUGGCGACCGGCAAACGGGUGCGGAACACGUACGCAACUUACCCUGAACUGGGGGAUAGCCCGGGGAAACCCGGAUUAAUACCCCGUAAUAUAAUGGAGUGGCAUCACUUUAUUAUUAAAGCUCCGGCGGUUCGGGAUGGGCGUGCGGCUGAUUAGGUAGUUGGUUGAGGUAACGGCUCACCAAGCCUACGAUCAGUAACUGUGUGAGGGCACGACCAGUGACAGGGGGACUGGGAAAAGGGGCCGAGUCCUACGGGAGGGAGCAGUAAGGGAUAUUGGGGAAUGGAAGCAACUCUGACCCAGCCAUGCCGCGUGGAGGAUGAAGGCCCUCUGGGUUGUAAACUUCUUUUAUAGGGGACGAAACCUGUGUAUUCUUACGCAGUUGACGGUACCCUAGGAAUAAGCACCGGCUAACUCCGUG
Molecule: ribosomal RNA, 488 nt
Filed under: uncultured bacterium
Lineage: Bacteria
Description: partial 16S ribosomal RNA
Rfam family: Bacterial small subunit ribosomal RNA
Source: RNAcentral